CAUGAUGUAGCUUAAACCCCAAAGCAUCUGGCCUACACCCAGAAGACUUCGCGCCCACGAACAUCAUGA
RNAcentral lists this transfer RNA (69 nucleotides) under Neodon forresti (Forrest's mountain vole). RNAcentral's name for it is "tRNA-Val". The record is from RNAcentral. Lineage: Eukaryota; Metazoa; Chordata; Mammalia; Rodentia; Cricetidae.